RNAcentral lists this ribosomal RNA (251 nucleotides) under uncultured prokaryote. Its description in RNAcentral is "partial 16S ribosomal RNA". It matches the Rfam family "Bacterial small subunit ribosomal RNA", at positions 525 to 775 of the family's 1533-position model. The record is from RNAcentral.
ACGUAGGGUGCGAGCGUUAAUCGGAAUUACUGGGCGUAAAGCGUGCGCAGGCGGUUCGCUAAGACAGGAGUGAAAUCCCCGGGCUUAACCUGGGAAUGGCGCUUGUGACUGGCGGGCUGGAGUACGGCAGAGGGGGGGGGAAUUCCUAGCGUAGCAGUGAAAUGCGUAGAGAUGUGGAGGAACGCCGAUGGCGUAGGCAGCCGCCUGGGCCGAUACUGACGCUCAGGCACGAAAGCGUGGGGAGCAAACAG